CCUACGGGGGUCUGCAGUGGGGAAUAUUGGACAAUGGGGGCAACCCUGAUCCAGCCAUGCCGCGUGUGUGAAGAAGGCCCUCGGGUUGUAAAGCACUUUCAGUGAGGAAGAACGCCUGGUGGUUAAUACCCAUCAGGAAAGACAUCACUCACAGAAGAAGCACCGGCUAACUCCGUGCCAGCAGCCGCGGUAAUACGGAGGGUGCGAGCGUUAAUCGGAAUUACUGGGCGUAAAGCGCGCGUAGGUGGCUUGAUAAGCCGGUUGUGAAAGCCCCGGGCUCAACCUGGGAACGGCAUCCGGAACUGUCAAGCUAGAGUGCAGGAGAGGAAGGUAGAAUUCCCGGUGUAGCGGUGAAAUGCGUAGAGAUCGGGAGGAAUACCAGUGGCGAAGGCGGCCUUCUGGACUGACACUGACACUGAGGUGCGAAAGCGUGGGUAGCAAACAGGAUUAGAUACCCUGGUAGUC
RNAcentral lists this ribosomal RNA (465 nucleotides) under Vreelandella stevensii. RNAcentral describes it as "partial 16S ribosomal RNA". It matches the Rfam family "Bacterial small subunit ribosomal RNA", at positions 338 to 795 of the family's 1533-position model. Lineage: Bacteria; Pseudomonadati; Pseudomonadota; Gammaproteobacteria; Oceanospirillales; Halomonadaceae. The record is from RNAcentral.